UCGCCCUACGGGGGGCAGCAGUGAGGAAUAUUGGUCAAUGGGGGAAACCCUGAUCCAGCGACGCCGCGUGAGUGAAGAAGUAUUUCGGUAUGUAAAGCUCUGUCAGCAGGGAAGAAAGAAAUGACGGUACCUGACCAAGAAGCCCCGGCUAACUACGUGCCAGCAGCCGCGGUAAUACGUAGGGGGCAAGCGUUAUCCGGAAUUACUGGGUGUAAAGGGAGCGUAGACGGUGAUGCAAGUCUGGAGUGAAAGGCGGGGGCCCAGCCCCCGGACUGCUCUGGAAACUGGGUAACU
Molecule: ribosomal RNA, 294 nt
Filed under: uncultured bacterium
Lineage: Bacteria
Description: partial 16S ribosomal RNA
Rfam family: Bacterial small subunit ribosomal RNA
Source: RNAcentral